RNAcentral lists this long non-coding RNA (240 nucleotides) under Rattus norvegicus (Norway rat). Its description in RNAcentral is "long non-coding RNA NONRATT030602". The record is from RNAcentral. Lineage: Eukaryota; Metazoa; Chordata; Mammalia; Rodentia; Muridae.
AUGAUGUCAUGGUGCCCUCGCUGUAUGAUGUCAUGGUGCCCUCGCUGUAUGAUGUCAUGGUGCACUGUAUUUGCAGGCUGUAUGGCAGGCAAUGGAGCUUCAAAUUCAGAGACUUAGCCUGGAUGACCUUACAUUUCCAUGUGUGUUGGACUCUGCCUGGCCAGCUCCGUCCGGUCAGAGAUAGGGUUUUCGAAAUUGUCACGUUAUCUCCCAAAGGUAAAAGAACAUCUGUACACCAAA